AGGUCCUGCCUGCCCCGUGAUUUAGUUUAACGGCCGCGGUAUCUUGACCGUGCAAAGGUAGCAUAAUAAAUUGUCUUUUAAAUUUAGACUAGUAUGAAUGGCCCCACGAGGGUUUAACUGUCUCCCCCUUUUAAUCUAUGAAAUUAAUCUUCCCGUGAAGAAACGGGAAUAUAAAUACAAGACGAAAAGACCCCAUGGAGCUUCAAACUUAUAACCACUUAUUUAAUUACAUAACACUUUAAUAUAAAAAUGUACUUUAAUAGUUUUUGGUUGGGGCGACCCUGGAGAAAAACAAAUCCUCCAGACUGAAAAGAACUAUAAUCCUUAUAUAAGAGCUACAACUCUAAUAAACAAAAAUUUGACAAAAUUGAUCCAGAAUUAACUGACCAAUGAACCAAGUUACCCUGGGGAUAACAGCGCAAUCCAUUUCAAGAGCCCCUAUCGACAAAUGGGUUUACGACCUCGAUGUUGGAUCAGGGCAUCCUAGCAGCGCAGCUGUUGCUAACGGUUCGUUUGUUCAACGAUUAAUACCCUACGUGAUCUGAGU
This 547-nucleotide ribosomal RNA is filed under the name Hyperolius picturatus (Tanzania reed frog). RNAcentral describes it as "partial 16S ribosomal RNA". It matches the Rfam family "Bacterial large subunit ribosomal RNA", at positions 1850 to 2610 of the family's 2925-position model. The record is from RNAcentral. Lineage: Eukaryota; Metazoa; Chordata; Amphibia; Anura; Hyperoliidae.